GACGAACGCUGGCGGCGUGCCUAAUACAUGCAAGUAGAACGCUGAAGCGAGGAGCUUACUCUUCUUGGGUGAGUUGCGGACGGGUGAGUAACGCGUAGGUAACCUGCCUUUUAGCGGGGGAUAACUAUUGGAAACGAUAGCUAAUACCGCAUAACAAUGGAUGACACAUGUCUUUUAUUUGAAAGGGGCAAUUGCUCCACUACAAGAUGGACCUGCGUUGUAUUAGCUAGUAGGUGAGGUAAUGGCUCACCUAAGCGACGAUACAUAGCCGACCUGGGAGGGUGGACGGGCCACAUGGGAACGGGACAAGGCCCAAGCUCCCAAGGGAGGCAGCAGGAGGGGAACUUCGGGCAAGGGGGGAAAGCCGACCGGGGAAAGGCGGGUGGGGGAAGGAGGUUCUCGGAUCGUAAAACUCUGUUGUAAAGGAAGAAAGGGUGUGGGAGUGGAAAGUUCACGCUGUGACGGUAGCUAAUCAGAAAGGGACGGCUAACUACGUG
RNAcentral lists this ribosomal RNA (497 nucleotides) under uncultured bacterium. Its description in RNAcentral is "partial 16S ribosomal RNA". It matches the Rfam family "Bacterial small subunit ribosomal RNA", at positions 28 to 507 of the family's 1533-position model. The record is from RNAcentral.